Molecule: ribosomal RNA, 444 nt
Filed under: uncultured bacterium
Lineage: Bacteria
Description: bacterial SSU rRNA
Rfam family: Bacterial small subunit ribosomal RNA
Source: RNAcentral
UUUUAGAGUUUGAUCCAUGGCUCAGAGCGAACGCUGGCGGAAUGCUUAACACAUGCAAGUCGUACGGGCAGCUUCGGCUGUCAGUGGCGGACGGGUGAGUAACGCGUAGGAACGUGUCCAUUGGUGGGGGAUAACGCUGGGAAACUGGCGCUAAUACCGCAUAUGGCCUGAGGGUCAAAGCCGUGAGGCGCCGAUGGAGCGGCCUGCGUCCGAUUAGGUAGUUGGUGGGGUAAAGGCCUACCAAGCCUACGAUCGGUAGCUGGUCUGAGAGGAUGAUCAGCCACACUGGGACUGAGACACGGCCCAGACUCCUACGGGAGGCAGCAGUGGGGAAUAUUGGACAAUGGGCGCAAGCCUGAUCCAGCAAUUCCGCGUGGGUGAAGAAGGUCUUCGGAUUGUAAAGCCCUUUCGGCAGGGAAGAUGAUGACGGUACCUGCAGAAGAC